Molecule: long non-coding RNA, 1061 nt
Filed under: Junco hyemalis (dark-eyed junco)
Lineage: Eukaryota; Metazoa; Chordata; Aves; Passeriformes; Passerellidae
Description: lncRNA (ENSJHYG00000000113.1)
Source: RNAcentral
CUGAGCUAAAGCAGAUGUGAGCAGGUGGCAGUGCAAGGAGCAGCUGGGGCUGGUGGCCCCGCAGGAGCUGUCCCCGGGGUCACCUGCAGCUGUGGGGCUGCAGGGCUGGAGCAGCAGGGCACAGGCAGGAGCUGCAGUGCCUGUGGUGAGUGAUGGAGUGGGCUCACUGCAGGGAAUGCCAAUGAGCUCAUGCUGCAAGGCAAGGGGAAGCAAAGGCAGCACCAAGAACGAUUCCAGGCAGCACCCACAGGGCUCAGGGCUCCUUCCAGUAAUGCUUCCACUGGGGCUGCCCCUGCCUCAACAUCCCCUCUCCUGCUGAGGAUGGGCUCAGCCCUUUCUCUCCCAGGGCAGUUCCCAGCUUUUCCUGCCUGCUUUGCUGACAGCACAACUCCAGUGCCUUUGCUCUGAUGUCUCCUCUCUCCCAGCCCAUAUUCCCCCUCAUUUCUCUCCCUCUGGAGCUCCCUGCACACCCAAAAGCUGCCUGUUUCAGAGUGCCCACACCCAUUUCUCACCCAUUUUUUGUUGUACCAGCCAUCACUUCACAGCUGGGUCACACACAGGGAGUGCUGCUGCUCAGGACAGGCAGAAAACCCAACCUGGGUGUGUGAACACCUGGGAUUUCUCCAGCAAAAGCAGAGGCUGUGGAACCAGGGUUCCACAGGGCAGACAGAGGCACCAGCCCAGCUCCCAGCAGCUCCAAGCAGCCUCUGGAAGUGCUCCUGCCCUUUGUGCAGGGAAGGGGACACAGCCCCAGCCCAACCUGGGAUUCUGCCAGGAGCACAGGAGCUCUCAGUGCCAAAUUGGCUGCUGUGGUUCUUCUAAUGUGGUUUGUGGCUUUGCUAAUGUGGACUCCUCUGGGGAUAUUCUCAGUGUCUCAAGCAAGGAGCUGGACUUGCAGCUCUGGGGACUGGAAAUGGGAUGGGCACAGCCAGGGCUCUGUGCCCUGCACUGGCAGAGGAGCUCCCCCUUCCCUUCCCUUCCCUUCCCUUCCCUUCCCUUCCCUUCCCUUCCCUUCCCUUCCCUUCCCUUCCCUUCCCUUCCCUUCCCUUCCCUUCCCUUCC